AAUAAUAUUAUUUUAUUAUUUAGUCUCCUAUGGUAUUCUAGCAUUUUCCUAUAAAUAGACACUUAGGUUAGAAUUGAAAAUCACACCAGAAACAAGUUUUCUUUCUCUCUAGAUUAUCGAGCGUAUUUUUGUGAGUAUUUUGAUACUUUGAGAGUUGUUGUUCGGUACAAGUUUCCUUCGGCUUUCUAUCCGAUAUUCCG
Molecule: long non-coding RNA, 200 nt
Filed under: Panax ginseng (ginseng)
Lineage: Eukaryota; Viridiplantae; Streptophyta; Magnoliopsida; Apiales; Araliaceae
Description: long non-coding RNA (PGIN_LNC013996)
Source: RNAcentral